This 118-nucleotide ribosomal RNA is filed under the name Scophthalmus maximus (turbot). The record is from RNAcentral. Lineage: Eukaryota; Metazoa; Chordata; Actinopteri; Pleuronectiformes; Scophthalmidae.
GCUUACGGCCACACCGCCUUUCCACGCCCGAUCUCGUUUGAUCUCGGAAGCUAAGAUAGGUUGGGCCUGGUUAGUACUUGGAUGGGAGACCGCCUGGGAAUACCAGGUGCUGUAGCUU